UACGUUCCCGGACCUUGCACACACCGCCCGUCAAGCCAUGGAAGCUGGGUGUACCUAAAGUCGGUAACCGCAAGGAGCUGCCUAGGGUAAAACUAGUAACUGGGGCU
This 107-nucleotide ribosomal RNA is filed under the name uncultured bacterium. RNAcentral describes it as "partial 16S ribosomal RNA". It matches the Rfam family "Bacterial small subunit ribosomal RNA", at positions 1367 to 1482 of the family's 1533-position model. The record is from RNAcentral.